This 310-nucleotide ribosomal RNA is filed under the name uncultured bacterium. RNAcentral's name for it is "partial 16S ribosomal RNA". It matches the Rfam family "Bacterial small subunit ribosomal RNA", at positions 503 to 807 of the family's 1533-position model. The record is from RNAcentral.
AAGAGACAGCAGUCGCCACGGUAAUACGAAGGGUGCAAGCGUUACUCGGAAUUACUGGGCGUAAAGCGUGCGUAGGUGGUGGUUUAAGUCCGUUGUGAAAGCCCUGGGCUCAACCUGGGAAUUGCAGUGGAUACUGGGUCACUAGAGUGUGGUAGAGGAUAGUGGAAUUUCCGGUGUAGCAGUGAAAUGCGUAGAGAUCGGAAGGAACAUCUGUGGCGAAGGCGACUAUCUGGGCCGACACUGACACUGAGGCACGAAAGCGUGGGGAGCAAACAGGAUUAGAUACCCCGGUAGUCCCUGUCUCUUAUAC